RNAcentral lists this unclassified non-coding RNA (379 nucleotides) under uncultured Paenibacillaceae bacterium. Its description in RNAcentral is "contains 16S-23S intergenic spacer region". Lineage: Bacteria; Bacillati; Bacillota; Bacilli; Caryophanales; Paenibacillaceae. The record is from RNAcentral.
UCCGGCUUAUCACCGGCAGUCCCUCUAGAGUGCCCAACUGAAUGAUGGCAACUAAAGGCGAGGGUUGCGCUCGUUGCGGGACUUAACCCAACAUCUCACGACACGAGCUGACGACAACCAUGCACCACCUGUCUCCCCUGUCCCCGAAAGGCCCACACUAUCUCUAAUGUGUUCAGGGGGAUGUCAAGACCUGGUAAGGUUCUUCGCGUUGCUUCGAAUUAAACCACAUACUCCACUGCUUGUGCGGGUCCCCGUCAAUUCCUUUGAGUUUCAGUCUUGCGACCGUACUCCCCAGGCGGAAUGCUUAAUGUGUUAACUUCGGCACCCAGGGUAUUGAAACCCCUGACACCUAGCAUUCAUCGUUUACAGCGUGGACUAC